Molecule: ribosomal RNA, 899 nt
Filed under: uncultured bacterium
Lineage: Bacteria
Description: bacterial SSU rRNA
Rfam family: Bacterial small subunit ribosomal RNA
Source: RNAcentral
UUAGAGUUUGAUCCUGGCUCAGGAUGAACGCUAGCUACAGGCUUAACACAUGCAAGUCGAGGGGGCAUCAAGGAGAAAGCUUGCUUUCUUUGCUGGCGACCGGCGCACGGGUGAGUAACACGUAUCCAACCUGCCCUUUACUCGGGGAUAGCCUUUCGAAAGAAAGAUUAAUACAAGAUGGCAUCAUGAGUCCGCAUGUUCACAUGAUUAAAGGUAUUCCGGUAGACGAUGGGGAUGCGUUCCAUUAGAUAGUAGGCGGGGUAACGGCCCACCUAGUCUUCGAUGGAUAGGGGUUCUGAGAGGAAGGUCCCCCACAUUGGAACUGAGACACGGUCCAAACUCCUACGGGAGGCAGCAGUGAGGAAUAUUGGUCAAUGGGCGAGAGCCUGAACCAGCCAAGUAGCGUGAAGGAUGACUGCCCUAUGGGUUGUAAACUUCUUUUAUAAAGGAAUAAAGUCGGGUAUGGAUACCCGUUUGCAUGUACUUUAUGAAUAAGGAUCGGCUAACUCCGUGCCAGCAGCCGCGGUAAUACGGAGGAUCCGAGCGUUAUCCGGAUUUAUUGGGUUUAAAGGGAGCGUAGAUGGAUGUUUAAGUCAGUUGUGAAAGUUUGCGGCUCAACCGUAAAAUUGCAGUUGAUACUGGAUAUCUUGAGUGCAGUUGAGGCAGGCGGAAUUCGUGGUGUAGCGGUGAAAUGCUUAGAUAUCACGAAGAACUCCGAUUGCGAAGGCAGCCUGCUAAGCUGCAACUGACAUUGAGGCUCGAAAGUGUGGGUAUCAAACAGGAUUAGAUACCCUGGUAGUCCACACGGUAAACGAUGAAUACUCGCUGUUUGCGAUAUACAGCAAGCGGCCAAGCGAAAACGUUAAGUAUUCCACCUGGGGAGUACGCCGGCAACGGUG